GGCGUACGGGUGAGUAACACGUGGGUAUCUACCUCUUAGUGGGGAAUAACUCGGGGAAACCUGAGCUAAUACCGCAUAAGCUCGAAAGAGGAAAGUCGAAAGACGCUGAGAGAGGAGCCCGCGGCCGAUUAGCUAGUUGGUGAGGUAAUGGCUCACCAAGGCGACGAUCGGUAGCCGGCCUGAGAGGGCACACGGCCACACUGGCACUGAAACACGGGCCAGACUCCUACGGGAGGCAGCAGUGGGGAAUCUUGCACAAUGGAGGAAACUCUGAUGCAGCGACGCCGCGUGGGCGAUGAAGGUCUUCGGAUUGUAAAGCCCUUUCGACAGGAACGAUUAUGACGGUACCUGGAGAAGAAGCUGCGGCUAACUACGUGCCAGCAGCCGCGGUAAUACGUAGGCAGCAAGCGUUGUUCGGAAUUACUGGGCGUAAAGAGUGUGUAGGCGGUGCGGUAAGUUUGGUGUGAAAUCUCCCGGCUUAACUGGGAGGGUGCGCUAAAGACUGCCGUGCUCGAGUGUGGGAGAGGAAAGCGGAAUUCC
This 540-nucleotide ribosomal RNA is filed under the name uncultured Bacillota bacterium. RNAcentral's name for it is "bacterial SSU rRNA". It matches the Rfam family "Bacterial small subunit ribosomal RNA", at positions 97 to 670 of the family's 1533-position model. Lineage: Bacteria; Bacillati; Bacillota. The record is from RNAcentral.